Molecule: ribosomal RNA, 2777 nt
Filed under: Staphylococcus aureus
Lineage: Bacteria; Bacillati; Bacillota; Bacilli; Caryophanales; Staphylococcaceae
Description: partial 23S ribosomal RNA
Rfam family: Bacterial large subunit ribosomal RNA
Source: RNAcentral
GAUUAAGUUAUUAAGGGCGCACGGUGGAUGCCUUGGCACUAGAAGCCGAUGAAGGACGUUACUAACGACGAUAUGCUUUGGGGAGCUGUAAGUAAGCUUUGAUCCAGAGAUUUCCGAAUGGGGAAACCCAGCAUGAGUUAUGUCAUGUUAUCGAUAUGUGAAUACAUAGCAUAUCAGAAGGCACACCCGGAGAACUGAAACAUCUUAGUAACCGGAGGAAGAGAAAGAAAAUUCGAUUCCCUUAGUAGCGGCGAGCGAAACGGGAAGAGCCCAAACCAACAAGCUUGCUUGUUGGGGUUGUAGGACACUCUAUACGGAGUUACAAAGGACGACAUUAGACGAAUCAUCUGGAAAGAUGAAUCAAAGAAGGUAAUAAUCCUGUAGUCGAAAAUGUUGUCUCUCUUGAGUGGAUCCUGAGUACGACGGAGCACGUGAAAUUCCGUCGGAAUCUGGGAGGACCAUCUCCUAAGGCUAAAUACUCUCUAGCGACCGAUAGUGAACCAGUACCGUGAGGGAAAGGUGAAAAGCACCCCGGAAGGGGAGUGAAAUAGAACCUGAAACCGUGUGCUUACAAGUAGUCAGAGCCCGUUAAUGGGUGAUGGCGUGCCUUUUGUAGAAUGAACCGGCGAGUUACGAUUUGAUGCAAGGUUAAGCAGUAAAUGUGGAGCCGUAGCGAAAGCGAGUCUGAAUAGGGCGUUUAGUAUUUGGUCGUAGACCCGAAACCAGGUGAUCUACCCUUGGUCAGGUUGAAGUUCAGGUAACACUGAAUGGAGGACCGAACCGACUUACGUUGAAAAGUGAGCGGAUGAACUGAGGGUAGCGGAGAAAUUCCAAUCGAACCUGGAGAUAGCUGGUUCUCUCCGAAAUAGCUUUAGGGCUAGCCUCAAGUGAUGAUUAUUGGAGGUAGAGCACUGUUUGGACGAGGGGCCCCUCUCGGGUUACCGAAUUCAGACAAACUCCGAAUGCCAAUUAAUUUAACUUGGGAGUCAGAACAUGGGUGAUAAGGUCCGUGUUCGAAAGGGAAACAGCCCAGACCACCAGCUAAGGUCCCAAAAUAUAUGUUAAGUGGAAAAGGAUGUGGCGUUGCCCAGACAACUAGGAUGUUGGCUUAGAAGCAGCCAUCAUUUAAAGAGUGCGUAAUAGCUCACUAGUCGAGUGACACUGCGCCGAAAAUGUACCGGGGCUAAACAUAUUACCGAAGCUGUGGAUUGUCCUUUGGACAAUGGUAGGAGAGCGUUCUAAGGGCGUUGAAGCAUGAUCGUAAGGACAUGUGGAGCGCUUAGAAGUGAGAAUGCCGGUGUGAGUAGCGAAAGACGGGUGAGAAUCCCGUCCACCGAUUGACUAAGGUUUCCAGAGGAAGGCUCGUCCGCUCUGGGUUAGUCGGGUCCUAAGCUGAGGCCGACAGGCGUAGGCGAUGGAUAACAGGUUGAUAUUCCUGUACCACCUAUAAUCGUUUUAAUCGAUGGGGGGACGCAGUAGGAUAGGCGAAGCGUGCGAUUGGAUUGCACGUCUAAGCAGUAAGGCUGAGUAUUAGGCAAAUCCGGUACUCGUUAAGGCUGAGCUGUGAUGGGGAGAAGACAUUGUGUCUUCGAGUCGUUGAUUUCACACUGCCGAGAAAAGCCUCUAGAUAGAAAAUAGGUGCCCGUACCGCAAACCGACACAGGUAGUCAAGAUGAGAAUUCUAAGGUGAGCGAGCGAACUCUCGUUAAGGAACUCGGCAAAAUGACCCCGUAACUUCGGGAGAAGGGGUGCUCUUUAGGGUUAACGCCCAGAAGAGCCGCAGUGAAUAGGCCCAAGCGACUGUUUAUCAAAAACACAGGUCUCUGCUAAACCGUAAGGUGAUGUAUAGGGGCUGACGCCUGCCCGGUGCUGGAAGGUUAAGAGGAGUGGUUAGCUUCUGCGAAGCUACGAAUCGAAGCCCCAGUAAACGGCGGCCGUAACUAUAACGGUCCUAAGGUAGCGAAAUUCCUUGUCGGGUAAGUUCCGACCCGCACGAAAGGCGUAACGAUUUGGGCACUGUCUCAACGAGAGACUCGGUGAAAUCAUAGUACCUGUGAAGAUGCAGGUUACCCGCGACAGGACGGAAAGACCCCGUGGAGCUUUACUGUAGCCUGAUAUUGAAAUUCGGCACAGCUUGUACAGGAUAGGUAGGAGCCUUUGAAACGUGAGCGCUAGCUUACGUGGAGGCGCUGGUGGGAUACUACCCUAGCUGUGUUGGCUUUCUAACCCGCACCACUUAUCGUGGUGGGAGACAGUGUCAGGCGGGCAGUUUGACUGGGGCGGUCGCCUCCUAAAAGGUAACGGAGGCGCUCAAAGGUUCCCUCAGAAUGGUUGGAAAUCAUUCAUAGAGUGUAAAGGCAUAAGGGAGCUUGACUGCGAGACCUACAAGUCGAGCAGGGUCGAAAGACGGACUUAGUGAUCCGGUGGUUCCGCAUGGAAGGGCCAUCGCUCAACGGAUAAAAGCUACCCCGGGGAUAACAGGCUUAUCUCCCCCAAGAGUUCACAUCGACGGGGAGGUUUGGCACCUCGAUGUCGGCUCAUCGCAUCCUGGGGCUGUAGUCGGUCCCAAGGGUUGGGCUGUUCGCCCAUUAAAGCGGUACGCGAGCUGGGUUCAGAACGUCGUGAGACAGUUCGGUCCCUAUCCGUCGUGGGCGUAGGAAAUUUGAGAGGAGCUGUCCUUAGUACGAGAGGACCGGGAUGGACAUACCUCUGGUGUACCAGUUGUCGUGCCAACGGCAUAGCUGGGUAGCUAUGUGUGGACGGGAUAAGUGCUGAAA